GACGAACGCUGGCGGCGUGCUUAACACAUGCAAGUCGAACGGAAAGGCCCUGCUUUUGUGGGGUGCUCGAGUGGCGAACGGGUGAGUAACACGUGAGUAACCUGCCCUUGACUUUGGGAUAACUUCAGGAAACUGGGGCUAAUACCGGAUAGGAGCUCCUGCUGCAUGGGGGGGGUUGGAAAGUUUCGGCGGUUGGGGAUGGACUAGCGGCUUAUCAGCUGGUUGGUGGGGUAGUGGCUUACCAAGGCUUUGACGGGUAGCCGGCCUGAGAGGGUGACCGGCCACAUUGGGACUGAGAUACGGCCCAGACUCCUACGGGAGGCAGCAGUGGGGAAUAUUGCACAAUGGGCGGAAGCCUGAUGCAGCAACGCCGCGUGCGGGAUGACGGCCUUCGGGUUGUAAACCGCUUUCGCCUGUGACGAAGCGUGAGUGACGGUAAUGGGUAAAGAAGCACCGGCUAACUACGUG
RNAcentral lists this ribosomal RNA (468 nucleotides) under uncultured bacterium. Its description in RNAcentral is "partial 16S ribosomal RNA". It matches the Rfam family "Bacterial small subunit ribosomal RNA", at positions 28 to 507 of the family's 1533-position model. The record is from RNAcentral.